AAUUCUCAACUUCAAAGACUUUGUUGUCUUUUGAAGCUUGGACUGUGGAGGCUUUGCCGGCGUCAUUGUCAGCUCCUCUUGAAUGCAUUAGCAGAACUUUUUAAAGACUAAGCUUUGGUUUGAUAAUAUAUCUAUGCCGUCGCUGUGGCUUUGUGUUCAGCUCAUAAUUGUCUUCGGACCGUCUCUUUGGAGGCAUGAAUACAUAA
This 206-nucleotide unclassified non-coding RNA is filed under the name Ramariopsis crocea. RNAcentral describes it as "partial internal transcribed spacer 2". Lineage: Eukaryota; Fungi; Basidiomycota; Agaricomycetes; Agaricales; Clavariaceae. The record is from RNAcentral.